RNAcentral lists this long non-coding RNA (17370 nucleotides) under Capsicum annuum. RNAcentral describes it as "long non-coding RNA (CANN_LNC009129)". Lineage: Eukaryota; Viridiplantae; Streptophyta; Magnoliopsida; Solanales; Solanaceae. The record is from RNAcentral.
UAUAAUAAACAAAUAAAUAAAGUAAUAAAGUAAUAAAAAUAAUAAUAAUAAUAAUAAUACCUAAAAAGAAAACUAACUAUGUAAUACUAAAUAUUAUAAUCUCUAAAUCUAACAUUAUUUAAUUUAAACAAAUAAAUAAUAAUAAUAGUAAUAAAUUAACACAUAUAUAAAUAAAUAAUAGUAACAGUUUUGGAUUCCAACCAUUUGUAGAUAACGUUUUCCUUUUUUAAAAGUUUAUACAUAAAUAAUGUUCAUCCAUUUUCUAAAGUCAUAACAACAACAUUUCUCUGUGGAACGUCGGCAACGGAGUAAUGACUGGGAGUGGAAAAAGGGGAAAGAGGGGCGGCACUUGGUUCGCCAGCGGUUGAUCGGCGGAGGGUCGCCAGCGAAGACGACGCUGACGGUUUUUGCGGCUGUUUUCUGGUGGUUAUCCACCGGAUCUGGAGCAAAAGGAGAUCGGUUGUGAUCAUGGCUUGCCUGCGACGACCAGAUCUAUGAGAAGAGAGAGAUCUCGCAGUUUUUUGCCAUUUUCUGACGAAGAGGGUUACCGAAAUUGCGACGAGAUGGAUUGAUUUUGGGCUGAUUAUCACGGUUUCCAGCAAGUUGGUUCGCCGGUGGAAAGGGUCGACUAGUUUUUGAGUGGUUUCCAGCGAGUUGGUUUGCCGGUGGAAAGGGUCGACUGGUUUAAAAAUUGCUAAUUUCUCUCAUACUCCAUUUAACUAUUGACUUUCCUAUUUCUCUCUUGAUUUGUUUUCAUGAGUUUUUGAUUAUCACUCACCAUUCACUAUUUUCUACUUUUUCUUUAUUUUAGUGUGUAUGGAAAUCAGUGAGGUCUGUGAAUAUGUGUGUACCGUGUAUUGUUGUGUACUGCUUUUAUAUGUGCUAUAACGUUCAUAUAUCAGUACAAACUAUUUAUGAUCUGUUAUACAUGAUUUUAAAUAAAAAUUUAAACUCUACUCAUUUGAAUCAUCAUUUUUACACAAUAAAAAUAUUUAAAUAAUCAGAUAUACAAUAUAACUUAUAAUCACAAUCAUAUCAAUAAUCGAAUUCUUGCAUAUUGAAUAAUACAUGAAGUCACUGUAUUAAUAUUUACGAAAUAACAGUACAAAAGUGGAUAAGAACCUGUUGAUAAAUUAAAACAGAAACUCACACUGUCACCGGAAAUCCCAACAGACCUUCAACUUCAAUGCUUUUCCUUUUCUCCUUUUGUUUCUGAUGUUUACUUACUUUUUUUUUUAUGUUGGUUUUUUUGUUUUGUUUUUCACUUUCUUUUGUUCUUCCUUUUCUGAUGAAUGAAUUUACGAUUUUUUUUAAAUCUCUAUUUGAUGUCGUCCUCUUUUUUUUAUCUGGGUAGAGAGUCUUCAUAUAAUAGGACUAUUGGGAGGGAAUGGUUAAAAGUAGAUAAGGGGAGGGGGAAAAUUUAAAAUUUAAAAAUCUUUUCCCUUUUUCUUUUAGAAAAUAUUAGUAAUAAGAAUAAUAAAUAAAAUAAAAUAAAAUAAUAAUAACGAUAAAUAUAAUAAUAAUUAAUUAAUUUUAUAUUUAACAAAAUAUAAUAAAAAUUUAUAAAUAUANNNNNNNNNNNNNNNNNNNNNNNNNNNNNNNNNNNNNNNAAAAUAAUAUUAAAACUAUUAAUUUAUUUAUUAAAAUUUAUAAAAGAAAACAUAUAUUUUUAAUUUUUAUAUUAUUUAAAAUUAGAAUAAAAAUCAAAAUAAUAUGUGCUUAAAUAUAAAAAUAUAAUAUAUUUAAUAUUGAUAAACAAGUUAAAAUUUAGGGAUGAUAAAAAAUCAUGUAUCUACAUUUUUUUCCCUCUUCGUGUGAAAUUUUGAAGAGUUUUUAUACAAAGAACCAGACAAGAUAUGAUUUUUUAUCCUCCAAUUAUUUGAAUAAUAAGAAUAAAAUAAACUUAAAAUUAAAAUAAAAUAAAAAAAUGUGAUCGAGUCCUUGUUUUGGACAUCCUACCUAUCCCGGGUUAUAAGGGAAUCAGGUCACGAGUAGUUCAAAAGUAAUUUGGUGAGAGAAACAGUUCAAGUCGAGUAGGAUUCCGUCGAGUUUCCGGUUAACAACUUCUGCCAAUUGCAAUCUCUAGAAUCUUGAUUCAAGCCUUCGCGACUUGAAUUUGAAAAUUCACCCUAUUCUUCAGGCGGACUCUUGAACUUACAAUUUUUUCGCCCUGUUCUUCAGGCGGGCUCCUGAGCUUACAAUUUUAUCACCCUAUUCUUCAGGCGGGCUCCUGGACUUUCAAUUUCUUCACCCUGUUCUUCAGGCGAGCUCCUGGACUUACAAUUUCUUCACCCUGUUCUUCAGGCGGGAUCCUGGACUUACAAUUUCUUCACCCUGUUCUUCAGGCGGGCUCCUAGACUUACAAUUUCUUCACCUUGUUUUUCAAGCGGGCUCCUGGACUUAUAAUUUCUUCACCUUGUUCUUCAGGCGGGCUUCUGAACUUCUAAUUUCUUCACCCUGUUCUUCAGGCGAGCUCCUGGACUUAGUACUUCUUCACCCUUUUCUUCAGGCGAGCUCCUGGACUUAGUACUUCUUCACCCUUUUCUUCAGGCGGGCUCCUGGACUUCCAAUUUCUUUAUCCUGUUCUUCAGGCGGGCUCCUGGACUUACAAUUUCUUCACCCUGUUCUUCAGGCGGGCUCCUGAACUCAAAGCAAAUAGUGAAAUAGAAAAAUAACAUUCCAUUCUUCAGGAGGGUCCUGGAUAUAAAAUAAAUUCUUAUUCUUCAGGAGGGUCCUGAGCAAAAAAUUUAAUUCCCAUUCUUCAGGAGGGUCUUGAACAAAAAAUAAAUUAUCAUUCUUUAGGAGGGUCCUGAGCAAAAAAUAAAUUCCUUACAACACACAUUAAAUUUGUCCCAGUUUGUACUGAAAAAAUUUAUGUGUCGCUGAAUCUUAAUAUAUCUCGCAAAGAAUAAAGUUUACCAUGACCGAGAUCCAGUAUCGGAUGCUGUAACCAUGCUUCUUGCAUUGAGAAGUGUGAAAUCACAUCCUUAUCUGAAAACAAUUAUUUCAUCUCUGUUCCAAACAAAGAAAAGUUAUUAGUUUUAAAACAUGUGGUGGUUGUUUUGUGGCAUUCAACUUUUGAAGUAGCCGCUCUCGCACUUGCCAUGCUCAACUCUUUUCCAAUCCAUGAUAAUAUUUAUUGAAUUGUCAUACUUCUGACUCAGAAUUCUGACUACUGAGAUCCUCAACUCAAAUCAUAUUUUUGUUGUAUGAUGCUUCUGAGUUUAGCUUCCGAUACAUCCUUUAGAUUUUCACGAGUUUAAAAUGGUUAAAUCACAAUCAUCUUGAGUACCUUACUUUUACUUUGAAACGUUGUCUCUGUUCAUCGACCAUUUGUCUUGCUUUGUACCCUUAAAGGAGUUGGUAGCGAGUUUGAAGUCAUUUCUCACUCGACCUGAUGUGAAUUUGACUCAAAAGACAACAAAAUUUUUUCGUUUGAUGACAAAGACACAAAAAAUAAAAAAUUAAAAUAAAACAAAAAGAACAAGACAAUAGGCAUCUCUUUUUCAAAACAAAGAGAAAACUUAUCUGAAUGUGGAAAUCGAUUCUGGUGAUUAUGACAUGCAUUUUGAAUCAAACAAUCAGAUCUACCCACACCGAUCAUUACAACUUUUGUUUACUUAUUGAGCUUGAAAUUAAGCCAAUCUUGAACUUGUUCCUUCUUGAUAACAACCUUUCUUCGGCUAGUGGCACCUUAUUGGAUUUUUGCCAAUGAGCUUAUCUCCUUUUCAUUUUUGUCUUAGCUCACAGUCGUCUUAUGGUGCCCGAAAGGAUUUUCACCAACAAGUCUCUCUCAUUUUCAUUUUUUCAUUCAUUUUUUUAAAUAAAUAAACACCUAACAUAUGAAAUAUCAUGCACUCAUAACAUGUUUAGCCUUGACAUUCUCAAAAACUAAUCUGAAGGUCUUUCUUUGAUUGUAACUUGGCUUUUGGAUAGGGUUAGAAAGAAAGGUCGGCAUGAGGCUCAAAAAAUUUAUAUAACAUUGGGUGAAACAUACAAUUUUUGGAAUCGAUUCUUUUAAGAAAAUAAAUUUUUGUCCCAGUUUCAUUUCAUUUUGGGUAAUUUGAAUUUUCUUCUGGUUAGACCGAACCCCGAAGAAGGGCUGCCUACGUAUCUUGUAAUAGCAAGAAUCAGGUCAAACGUAGUUCAGGAAACACUAUUCUUUUGCUUGAUUUUGAAUUUUUGAUUGAUUUCUUCUUUUUUUUUUCUAUUUUUUUUUACUUUAAUUUGAUUCCAAAAGAGGGGUAAUAAGAAAAAUAAAAGCUCAAAGAGAUAAGCAAAGGUUGAUAUAUUAUUCGGAUAGUAGAACAAAAUGCCUUCAUCAUUUCAAUCUUUAAAAAUAUAAGUACAAAACAUACAUAACAUAAUUGUACAUGAAUAUCAUAUAUAAUAUCUUUUAAAUGCAUCAGCAUUGAUCGACAUUUCUUCCAUUUUUCCUUCUACAUCAGUCAAAUAUAAUGCUCCAUUAGGUAACACUUUCUUCACCAUGAAUGGCCCAUGCCAAUUAGGAGAAAAUUUGCCUUUGGCUUCAAUCUGAUGAGGUAGAAUGUGUCUUAGUACCAACUGACCAACUUCACAAUGUCUGUGACGCACCUUUUUGUUAUAUGUUCAUGCCAUUCUCUUCUGGUAUAGUUGUCCAUGACAUACUGACAUCAAUAUUUUUUCAUCAAUCAAGCUUAAUUGCUCCAAACGAGUCUUGACCCAUUGGUCUUUAUCAAUUUCAGCUUCCACAACUACUCGAAGAGAUGGAAUCUCAAUCUCUGCAGGUAUAACUGCUUCAGUUCCAUACACCAACAAGUAAGGAGUUACACCAAUUGAAGUUCGAAUUGUAGUACGAUAACCCAACAAAGCAAAAGGUAACUUUUCAUGCCAUUGUCGGGAACCCUGUACCAUCUUACGGAGUAUUUUCUUUAGGUUCUUGUUGGCAGCUUCUAUAGCCCUAUUUGACUUUGGGUGAUAAGGAGUAGAAUUUACAUGCAUAAUCUUAAAUUGUUGGCACACUUCUUGCAUCAAAUAACUGUUGAGAUGUGCAGCAUCAUUGGUGACAAUUAUCUAUGGAAUGCCAAACCGAUAAAUGAUGUUGGAGUGAAUAAAAUCAACCCCUACUUUUUGGGUCACUGACUGGAAAGUCGUUGCUUCCACCCACUUCAUGAAAUAAUCAAUGGCUACCAAGAUGAACCUAUGUCAAUUCGAGGCCUUCAGUUUAAUUGGUCCAAUUACGUCCAUUCCCUAAGCCACAAAAGGCCAUGGAGCAGUCAUUGUAUGUAACUCAGAUGGAGGAGAAUGUAUUAAGUCUCCGUGUACUUGGCAUUCAUGACAUUUUCAAAUGAAACUGAUGAAAUCUCGCUCCAUGGUGAGCCAAUAAUAGCCUGCUCGGAGUAUUUUCUUUGCCAAAACAUACCCACUCAUGUGUGGUCCACAAAUCUCAGAAUGUACUUUAGUCAUGAUUUUUGAAGCUUCUUUAACAUCUACACAUCUCAGAAGUCCCAAAUCAGGAGUCCUCUUAUACAAGAUUCCUCCACUUAAGAAAAAUCCACUAGACAAACGUCAAAUGGUUCUCUUUUGAUUACCAUCAGCAUGUACAGGAUAUUUCCCAGUCUGAAUAUAUUCUUUGAUAUCAUCGAACUCGGUUCCCCAUCAAGUUCUUCUUCAACCACAUUGUAAUAUGCAUGUUGAUCAUAAAUCUGUAUAUGCAAAAGGUCAAUAUAAGUUUUGUCGGGAUGUUGAAGCAUCAAAGAUAAGGUCGCCAAAGCAUCAGCAAUCUCAUUAUAAGCUUUGGGAAUGUGUUUGAACUUCACUGAUACAAAUCGUUGACAAAUAUCUUGCAAACAACCUCUAUAUGGUAGGAGUUUGGAAUCACAAGUCUCCCAAUCUCCUUGGAUUUGGUGGACUAAUAAAUCCGAAUCUCCUAAUACCAACAGUUCUUGGACUCCUAUUUCAAUGGAUAAUCUCAAUCCCAGAAUGCAAGCUUCGUAUUCUGCCAUAUUAUUGGUACAGUAAAAUCAAAGUUGGGCUGUUAUAGGAUAAUAUUGUCCUGAUUCAGAAAUAAGAACUGCUCCUAUCCCCACUUCUUUUACAUUAGCAGCUCUAUCAAAGAACAACUUCCAACCUGAAUGGCAUUCUUCAAAAACAAACUCAUUAACAUACAAUACCUCUUCAUCUGGAAAAUAAUUCUUCAAUGGCUCAUACUCCUCAUCUAUAGGAUUUUUAGCCAAAUUAUCUGCUAACGCUUGAGCUUUCAUUGCAGUUUAUGUCACAUAAACAAUAUCAAACUCUGUGAGCAACAUCUGCCUGUGGGCAUAGGCUUCUGGAAAAUGUACUUUAAAAGAUCCAUACGAGAGAUAAGGUAAGUAGUAUAAGAUGACAAGUAAUGUUUCAGCUUUUGGGCUACCCAAGUUAAGGCGCAACAUGUCUUCUCAAGAAGAGUGAACUUAGCCUCAUAAAUGGUAAACUUUUUGCUAAGGUAGUAUAUGGCCUGUUCUUUUCUUCCUGUAACAUCAUGUUGACCCAAUACAUAGCCGAAAGAACUGUCUAACACUGACAUGUACAAUAUCAAGGGUCUGCCUAGCUAUGGAGGAACCAAGAUAGACAAAUUCGACAAGUACUUCUUAAUUCUGUCAAAUGCCUCUUGACAUUCUUCAGCCCAUUCAACUUUAUCAUUCUUCUUCAAUAACUUGAAUAUUGGCUCGCAGGUUGUCGUAAGCUGAGCAAUAAAUCUACUGAUAUAAUUUAACCUUCCAAGUAAACUCAUCACCUCUGUUUUGUUCUUUGAUGGAGGUAAAUCUUGAAUAGCUUUUAUUUUUGAAGGAUCUAACUCAAUGCCGUGCCGACUGACUAUAAACCCUAAGAGUUUUCCCGAUGGAACUCCAAAUACACAUUUCACUAGGUUAAGUUUGAGAUCAUACCUCCGAAGCCUUCAAAGAAUUUUCUCAAAUCCUUGACAUGCUCAGACUGCUCUUUUGAUUUAAUGAUCACAUCGUCCACAUAAACUUUAAUCUUUUUGUGCAUCAUGUCGUGAAAUGUUGUAGUCAUUGCCCUUAUGUAAGUUGCCCCAGCAUUCUUUAGUCCGAAAGGCAUGAAUCGAUAACAAUAUAUCCCCCAUGGAGUAAUAAAUGAUGUGUUUUCCGUAUCUUCUUGAUCCAUAAUGAUUUGGUGAUACCCCGCAUAACAAUCCAAAAAAGACGCAAGAUCAUGUUUGGCACAAUUGUCCAACAAAAUAUGAAUAUUAGGAAGUGGAAAAUUAUCUUUCAGACUUACUUUAUUUAGAUCACGAUAAUCAACACACAUCCAAACUUUUCCAUCCUUCUUUGGAACAGGGACAAUAUUUGCCAACCAAGUAGGAUAUUGGGCCACUCGAAUGACUUUAGACUCUAGUUGCUUCGUGAUUUCCUCUUUGAUUUUUACACUCAUGUCAGUUUUAAGCUUUCUUAGCUUUUGCUUGACUGGAGGAAAAGCAGGAUCGAUUGGUAAUUUGUGAACUACCAAAUCAGUGCUCAAACAGGGCAUAUCAUCGUAAAACCACACAAAGAUAUCCUUAUAAUCAAGAAAAUUUUCAAUUAUAACUUUCUUUUGUUGUGGUUGAGCAUGUACACUUAUCUUAGUCUCCCUAAUAUUUUCAAUUAUCUCCUAAAUUGAUCGCCUCAGUUUCUUCCGAAUUGGGAUUUGUCUUAUUCUCAAACUGUUUGAAAUCUUUGUGUAUAUCCUCAAAUGCUUCUUCUUCAUCAUAUUUAACUUCUUUAUUUAUUAUUUCAUAAUUAGAUUAGGUUUUUAAAUCUGGUUGAUAAUUCUUUAUGCAUGUCAUAUCAUUAGAAUUGGCAUAGAAAGAACUGUAUGAUAGAAAAUAAAUAAAUAAAAAUCAAACUCAAAAUAAAACGAAGGGAAAAUACGCUUUAUUAAAAACAUAGAUAGAAAGAGUUUUAACCUAAAAUACCAAGUUAAAGUUCUAAAUUACAAUCCUAGAAUGAUUCAAAUUACAGGAGUAAAAACAAACAAACUACUAAGACUGUAAGAAAAACAAACAAACUACCAAGACUCUUUUAUAAUAGGGAGAGGAGUGACUUUCUAAUUGUUAAGCGGGAUAUCAGGGCCGACAAACUACACAUCUGCAUUGCUGGUACCUUCCCCAAUUUCAACAAUAUCAGCUUCAAUGAACAUAUUCUAAAAAAGGCCAAUCAACUUUGUAUUAUCACCAUUCAUUGAUUCUGCAGCAGGUAACUUGGGGGAUCCAACAAUACUUAAUUUGAUGAAGGACUCGUGAAGUGGCGAUAUCGGCUUGGUAAGUGGCCAUGACUCUUUCUUAUGCUUUGUAUCCUUCUUUAUAUCUUUAACAGUAGGCUCGUAUCCUAAACAAAAAGUACCAAAGUUCUCAUAGAGGUUUACCGGAUGAACUAUACCUUGCAAAAACAUCCCUAGACCUUUUUCUAGUUCGAAGUCAUGCUUCAACAUUUCAUUCACUACCAUAACAGAUACAGAGGAAAAUUGUGGUCUUACGAUGAGAUUCCCCUCGAGGAUAUGCUCAAUAGCCACUACCUCAGAAGUCUGAUGAAUUAACACAUUAUCUGCAACAUCUUUUUCGAUGGAGGAAACAAAGUAGUCUUUAUACGUGGAUAAAUCUCUUUCACCAUGAACAAUUAUUUCUUUCCUGUGAUGUUUAAAUUUAACCAUUUGAUGCAAUGUUGAUGCGGCUGCUUUAGCCCUAUGAAUCCAUGGCCUUCCCAAUAACAUAUUAUAUGAAGUUUCAAUGUUCAGCACUUGGAAAUUCGUAGCAAACUCCACAGGUUCAAUUGUCAAUAUGAACUCUAUUUCACCAAUGGCAUCAGUUUUUGAUCCAUCAAAACCUUUGACGCAUACAUUAUUAGGUUGGAUCCUUUCCACAUUAGCAUUUAACUUUUAAAAAGUAGACAUAGGACAAAUAUUAGCGCCUGAUCCUCCAUCAAUUAAAACUCGAGUGUCGAUGGAAUGUUCACAUUUCACAAAAAUGUACAGACUUUUGUUAUGCUCAGUACCUUCCAUAGGCAAUUCAUCGUCUGAGAAAGUAAUUUUAUUUGCUUCAAGGAUCCUUCCAACAACUUUUUUCAGCUGAUUCACUCUAAUCUCACUGGGAACACAUGCUUAAUUAAGAAUUUUCAUUAUAGCCUUGCAGUGUUCCACUAAAUGUAUUAAUAAAGACAAUAAAGAAAUCUGUGCUGGUGUAUUCUUCACUGUUCUACAACAGAAUAUUCUGGCAAUUUCAUUUUCUUUAAGAAUUCUUCAGCUUCUUCAUCAGUGAACAGAUUUUUGAAUGUCAUUCAUUCUUCACCGCCUUGUUUAUUCUUUCUUAACUCUACUAGAGCAUAACAUCUUUCAGAUCGAGUUAAUCCCCUACUUUAUCUAUAUCUUCAGUCACUUCUUUCCCCUUGUGCAUGACCACAACGCGAUCAUAAUUCCAAGAGAUUGCCUUGGUAUCAACCAUAUGCAGUUAUGACACUGGUUUAAUAAUAACAGGAGCUGCGGGAGCUCCUUUUAUGAUUAAAAGAGGCUUAUUGGAUAUUUUGGGAAUAAUGAGUUUCGGCUUUAUUUGACUUGACCCAAUAUUUUCUGAAAUCUCUUUCCCCACCACCAAGGGAGCAUUCGAUGAUUCAGGUUUUGUUAUCACUACCUCUGCUUCUGCAGGCUUUUCUUUUGUCAAAUCCACAGCAUUUGCUGAUUUUUCUGAAUCAGUUUUAAUUUUAAUGAUCGACUUGAAGGAAAUCGUAACAUCUUCACCACUGAGUAUCACUUCUAGCCUGUUUGUUUCAUUAUGAUCUGGCAGUAGAAUUUGAUUGAUAUUUGGAGCAUCUGGACUUUCUACCAAGAUCUGUUGGGUAUUGAUCAACUCUUGAAUGGCUCUUUUCAGAUACCAACAUUUCUCUGUGUCGUGCCCUAGGGCAUCAGAACAAUAUUCACAUCUUCUAGAAUAGUCCAAGUUUUUCGUUGGAGGAUUCAGGAUCCUUUUCUUAAUGGAUUUAGAACAUUCAUUUUUCUCAGCCUAUGAAAUAAACUGGUGUAAGAUAUUCCAAUAGGAGUGAAAUUAUAUUUUACUAUGUUAUUCCUUUUGAAUUCUGCUCUAGGCCGAAAAUUAAACCUAGGAGGGCCUCUUUUAAUUUGCGGGGCUAUUAGAUGAUUUUGGAUUGCUGGUGUAUGCCACUACGGGUAAGAAGGAGCCCGAGCAUAUGGUUGUGCAUUGUAAAUAGGAUAUUGGGGGGAUGGAAUGAAAUAUAUUGGAUUCUGUGCGUAUGGUUGAUGCGCACCUCUCCAAUUUUGUCGUGGACCUGUCACGACAGUUGCUACAUCCUCUUUUCUUUUCUUUUCCCCGAAAUUUUCUGUACCACUUUGAAUUGCCUGUGCUGUUUCUUUUAAAGUGGUCUGGCUGAUAAUCUUUCCUGGCUUGAUUCUAUUUUCUACCAUCUCUCCAACUUUGAUAACUUUGGCAAAUAUGCUUCCGAUAGUAGAGAGCAAAUGAUGGAAAUAAUCAGGCUCUUGUGCUUGCAGAAAAAUAUCAAUCAUUUCAGAUUAUUUUAUCGAUGGUCUAACUCUUGAAGCCCGCUCUCUCCAUUUGAUGGCAUAUUCUCAUAAAUUUUCGGUCAUCGUUUUUCUCAUGUUGGCAAGCGUAGUUCGAUCUGGCACUAUCUCAAUGUUAUAUUGAAAUUGUUGAAUGAAAUCCCAAGCCAUGUCAUCCCAUACAUGCCAACGGAAAAUGUCUUGAUCAAUGAACCAUUCAGAAGCUAUCCCUGUAAGGAUUUCUCCAAAGUAAGCCAUCAAUAAUUCUUCUUUUCCUCCUGCUCCCCUUAAUUGAUUGCAAAAAAUUUUCAAAUGAGCUACAGGAUGGCCGUGUCCUUCAUAUUUGUCAAACUUUGGCAUUUUAAAUCGGUAAAUGGACAUCAGGAAACAUACAUAAAUCCUUUUAUGAAACACUUUUUGGUCCACCUAAUCCUUGCAUAUUUCUCAUACUCUGCUCCAAGCUUCUAACUUUUCUAGCCAUCUCCUCUUCUUCCUCAUUCUUAGCAAUCUUCUCAAUCACGAUAGACGUAUUGUGUUGAUGAACAUGAUAAGGUGGAUUUUGGGAUUUGAAAGUCAUUUCAGGAGGAUAUAACAUAUCAUGACUUGGUUUUCCCAUAUUCUUUGGCACUGUCGGUUGAGUACCCGCAGUACCUGGUGCUACAGAAGUAAAAAACGGGCUAUUUGUGAUAAACAGAUUUGGUGGGUGCAUGGUAGAAGUACCAACAACUCCAGACAUAUUAGCAAAUGGGGUAAAUCCUGGUGAGUAAAAUGGAUCACUAGUUCGAGCUGGGUCAGAAUUUGGAUCAUUCGAAGUUGAAAGUCCAGGGAUUGAAGUAGGCGGGGCUUGUCCAUUCAACCAAGCUUGGUACAUCUCUGUCAUCUGUUUUUUCAAUGACUUUAUUUCUUCCAUUGAUGCUACUUCCUGCGAAAUCAACUGAUUUUGCUCUUCUUCAUUGUCAGACCCUAUACCUUCUCUGCGGGUCAUUUUCUUUUACCCUUGUAUCUAGUAUUAUACGAAUGUGAUGCCAGUUUAAACCACAAACCAACUACCAAUUACUUUAUCUUUCUGUAACCAAGUAGCAAAUGGGUGAGUGAUAUAUUUUUAAUGCAUUAUAAUGCCAAGUUAUAUGUCAUGCUUCUAUAUGCAUUUUCCAACCUAUCAUGGAAGACUUUGUGUUUCAUCCCGGCUUUUCUUGGCAUAUUUUUUUUCAAAAGUUAUGAUCAAACCCUUUGGAGGGUUUCCUACGUAUCAUGCCAGGACAUGAAUCAGAUCUUACGUAGUUCGAAAAAAAUUAACAAAAUGAUUUUGUCUCUUUUUAUUAUUAUUUUUAUUAAAGAAAAUAAAUAAAGUAAGUAAAGUAAAACAUAUGUAAUAUAUUUAGAAAUAAAUAGUCAUCUUCAUUACAUUCCCUAAUAUAAAUACGACAACAUAACCGACCCAAAUUCUAAGAUAAGACCCACCAACUGACAUCUGACAAAUAAAACUAAAAGACAUAACAUCUAAACAAGAAGUUUCAAAACUGAAAAUGAAAAACUAUAACAAAGAAAACAACUAUCCAUUCAGGGAGACUUCGGCUUGAUAUGUCCUCCCAAACUCAAGUAUAUGUCCUCCAUUGAGGUAGUGAGACGUUGUGCGAAAGCUGGUACUUGUGCCAAAAAGUCCUCACAAUCCAACUACUGAUAAUCCAAACCCAUUCUGGCAGUAUCUAGUGCUACACGGCGGGCCUUCCCUCGAAGGGAACUAAAGGCCUGAUCCCAUUCCUGGCCUAUCGAUCUUGAAAAUCAACCAUCUCUCUUGCACGCUGUUCGCGAGCAGGCAACCUCUAAUUGUUCUUGCAAUAUUCCUCUUUCACGAAUCCAUUGAGAUCUCUCUCGAUCAAAUUCUUCUUACAUGUUCUUUUCAACUUCUUGUAGUUGCUGUCUGCGAGAUGCAGCGAGUUCUGCAAUGUGUGACCCUCUAGUGGUAGCCAGUUUGAUUUGUCCCCGAAGUGCAGCCUCUAUAUCUGCUGAUUUAGCUUUCUCUUCAUCAAAUUCCCUUUGUUGUUCGUCUAUUUUUGCCUUGGCAUGCUCUAAUUCUGCUCUCAAAGCUUGGUUGGCCUUAUGAUGUUCUCACAUGGCUCUCUCAAUUCCUAUUCUGAUUGCAGUUUCCUGAUCUAUAGGUCCCCUAACUGAUAUUUCUGGUCUGACUGGCAGACUUGACUGUUCUUCAAACUAUUCAUGAUAACCUGGGUGUACUUCUCCUUUCUCACGCUCUAUGACCAUCGUUUCAAUCCCUAUGAUAUGGCAACCUUCCCAAAUCUGCUGGGCCAAUUCCUCCAGAAGUGGGAUCUCUGGUUUGACCUCAAAUAGAAACUCGGUCAUAUUUUCCGUAAUGGGAAUUAUUUGACGUCUUCCAAGAUGACGUAAAACUCUCAAUGGAACAUAUGGUUGAACACCCCUAAUACCCAUUAAUAAUAAGAACGGCCGAAUUACAAAACUGUGUAUGACUUGCCUCCAAGGGAACCAAGGGAGAUUCCAAGUGAUUUUAUCUGCUGUCAGAGAACGAAAAAGCUUAUCCCAAUCUCUAACUCCUUCUGGGCAUUUAUAUUUCUCUAACCUCUCUUUGUAAUCUUUGAUGCGAUUGAAUCUUUUCUGACUAAAUCUUGCCAUUAUAGGACGUCGGUAAAGAUACUCCACAAUCCACAUCUGUAACAAGAUAUUACAUCCCUCGAAAAAACUCUUUCCUUUCUGACAAACAGUCAAAGCAUGGUAGAUAUCUGUCAGGAUCAUUGGCACCAUAGUGUAAUCUUUCUUAAUCAGUAUCUUUACCACUCCUGCUAAAUGAAUGUUAAUUUUUUGUUCUCUUCUUGGGAAGACCAUAGUGCCUAAAAAGGCUACCAUGAAUGCAAAUCGUCUGUGAACCUUCUACGCCUCAAAAUUCCCCUUAUUACAGAGCUGCUUACCAUACUUUUUGAACCCCUCUUGCCUUUCGUAUCUAUCGUACGAAACUGCAGGGAAACCCAACCUUUUUUCAUCGAUUCUUCUUUUGAAUUCCUUAUGUUCAUGAGUUUGCAGAAUUUGUUUAUCGAAAUGAGUCUUGGGGCUAUAAGUUUCUUUCGAUGUAUAUCCCCAUAUCCAACAUAGGCCGCUAUCUCCUCUACAGUAGGAGUCAACUCAAAAUUCAAAAAAUGAAACACAUUGUUCUUCGGGUCCCAGAAGGUUAGUAACGCAUCAAUCACCUCCCUAUUAGGCUUUAUUUUCAUAAUACUCGUCAAAAAACCCAAAUACUUAUGUAUUUCGUCAUAAUCAAUUGUAUCUAUUUAGUUCCACCACAACCAAAGCUGCAAACAGGUAUAAUCCAUAACCUGAAGUGGUACACUCCCAUCUCUCUUUCUCUUUGGACGCUUUCCACGAACAGGGGAAGAUAUUUUAUACCUAUUGGCAAGGACAUAAAAUUAAUAAAUGUCUAGAUUUAGGCUGAAAUUAAUUCAUUAAUUUUUGAAAAGAAUUUUUUAAGUUGACUUGAGAACUAUGACUGAUAAUAUAUUUAGAAAAACCAUUUAUUUAAGUUGACUCUUAUAAAUUUUUUUUGCAAUAACAGACCUCUAGACAAUUUUAACUAUAUAUUUGGAGACAUUACCUCCCUAAAUACACUUAAGAGAACAAAAAUAAAAUAAAAUAAUUUGGAAAAUAAAGAAAAAUAGAAUGAUCAUUUCAUGUAUGAAGUGAAGUUGUAUAAAAUUCUAGUCUCACGACCCCUAAAGGUUUAGGACUAUUAAAAUAUAUGUUUACAUAUUUUAUUACUUUAAAAAAAUUCAGCUCACAACCCCUAAAGGUUCAGGCUAUUAUGAUUUUGAUGUUAAAAUUAAUUUUGAAAAUAAGAAUGAAAAGUAAAAUAAAGAUAAUAAUAUUCAUGAAAACAAUCAUUUUUAUUAUUAUUAUUUAUUUUAUUAUUUUUCUAAAAGUAUCCUUCGAUAAAUCUGUCAAUAAAUAUAUUAUUAUUAUUUUUCAAAUAAAUGGUCGUAUCCUGGGUAGGACUUCCUACGUAUCUCACAAAAAGUGAAAAUCAGACCCUCGUAGUUCAUGAAAACUCUAAAGUAUAUUAUUCUAUAUUUAAAAUUUUCCUCCUUUUUUUUAAUAAAAUCUUCCUUUGAAAAAUAAUUCACUAAAUUUGAGGAUAAUAUAACCUUUUGCAUUUUAAAGUUGCUUAAAAACCGGUCAACAAUAAAAUAAGCCUUCCAAAUAAAUGUCAAAGAGCACGUAGGAUGCACAUGUUGGUCUUUAUAAAUUAGGUCACCUGUCCUAGACGACCCUGCACCUGUGCCGAGUUCCGCUAAGUCAAAUGCAUAUGAUGCAAAUAAAGCGGCACCUAAUAGGGAUAACCAGAUUCUGAGUUUUCAGUUCUUCUAAGUUUAAACCUAAUAGGGAUAGGUGUCUACACUAGCUUGCCCGAGCGGACACUUGAGCCGACGAGGGACAACUUGGUCGGUAGUAGGUUGUCAAUCCGAACUCCGCCUAACAUGUGUGACUAUAUCCUUCACCAGGUGCCUUGACACUCUGGCUACCUCAAAAAGAAGGUGGGAUGCAUAUGUUGUAUUCCCUCUACCUAUUUCAGAGACUCAAAAGGGGUACGCGAGAGAAGACAAUAUAUAAUACAGUUCAAAUAAUAUCAAAGUAGUAAAUGAGCAACAAGUAGCACAUAAGGCCAAUAAACACAAUAUCAAAAUAAUUAAAGCAAGUAAAAGCCAAUAUCCAAAGCUCGAAUUAUAGUAUUUCCCCAGCGGAGUCGCCAGAGAUGUCACACCCCUUUUCGCCCGAAGGGAUCGAGGUCGAAGGUUGAAAGGUUUUUCCAAUUAAAGUGACGGUAUUGAAUAGGGAUUAUUUUUAAUUAAAGAGUCACCACUUGAAAUUGAGUUAUGAUUUUCCAAGUCACCUUUUUGAAUCCCUAAUCAAAAGGAAAUGACUCUUUAUUUUGGUUUGCGAAAACAGAAGACGGGUAAGGAGUUCUGUUGACCGAGGAAAAGGUAUGAGGCACCUCUCGAGUCCCGUAGUUCUAGCACGGUCGUUUUUACUGACUUAUCUUGUGUUAAACUAUUUUGAUGAAUUCUGUUAAGGCCAAAAAUCACUUAUUUUAUCAUACUAAAACUCGUCUGUUAUUUUAUAUUAAAUAAAUCAGUGAAAGUUAAAAAAUAUUUGUCAAAUUAAUUUUAAAAAAAUAUUUAUCAAGGUGCAUUAUUGCAUCAUUAAAUUUUAAAAUGUCUCAAAAAGAUGUGUACGCCGCAUUCUUAUUUGAGACGAAACUAUAUUAAGCGUGUUAAAAAUUAACUAGUAUUAAAAAUGUUCAUUCAUUAUUUGUAAAUUCAUAAUAACUAUUUGUUUUUAAUGAUAAACUAAGCAAUUUUUUACUUAAAGUGAUAAGUUAAUUUAAUAAACAAUUAUCAAUUUUGUUAAUAAAUAUAAAAUAAAAUAAAAUAAAAUGUCAUAUAAUAAACAAAUAAAUAAAGUAAUAAAGUAAUAAAAAUAAUAAUAAUAAUAAUAAUACCUAAAAAGAAAACUAACUAUGUAAUACUAAAUAUUAUAAUCUCUAAAUCUAACAUUAUUUAAUUUAAACAAAUAAAUAAUAAUAAUAGUAAUAAAUUAACACAUAUAUAAAUAAAUAAUAGUAACAGUUUUGGAUUCCAACCAUUUGUAACAUUUUCCUUUUUUAAAAGUUUAUACAUAAAUAAUGUUCAUCUAUUUUUUUAGAGUCAUAACAGCAACAUUUCUCCGUGGAACGUCGGCAACGGAGUAAUGACUGGGAGUGGGAAAAGGGGAAAGAGGGGCGGCACUUGGUUCGCCAGCGGCUGAUCGGCGGAAGGUCGCCAGCGACGGAAAAGGGAAGACGGCGCUGAUCGAUUUUGCGGCUGUUUUCUGGUGGUUAUCCACCGGAUCUGGAGCAAAAGGAGAUCGGAUGUGAUCAUGGCUUGCCUGCGACGACCAGAUCUAUGAGAAGAGAGAGAUCUCGUAGAUUUUUUACCAUUUUCUGACGAAGAGGGUUACCGAAAUCGCGAUGAGAUGGACUAAUUUUGGGUUGAUUACCACGGUUUCCAGCGAGUUGGUUCGCCGGUGGAAAAGGUCGACUGGUUUUUGAGUGGUUUCCGGUGAGUUUCUCGCCGGAAAAUUUAAAAAUUGCUAAUUUCUCUCAUACUCCAUUUAACUAUUGACUUUCCUAUUUCUCUCUUGAUUUGUUUUCACGAGUUUUUGAUUAUCACUCACCAUUCACUAUUUUCUACUUUUUCUUUAUUUUAGUGUGUAUGGAAAUCAGUGAGGUCUGUGAAUAUGUGUGUGUACCGUGUAUUAUUUUGUACUACUUUUAUAUGUGCUAUAACGUUCAUAUAUCAGUACAAACUAUUUCUGAUCUGGUUUACAUGAUUUUAAAUAAAAAUUUAAACUCUACUCAUUUGAAUCAUCAUUUUUACACAAUAAAAAUAUUUAAAUAAUCAGAUAUACAAUAUAACUUAUAAUCACAAUCAUAUCAAUAAUCGAAUUCUUGCAUAUUGAAUGAUACAUGAAGUCACUGAAGUUACUGUAUUAACAUUUAUGAAAGAACAGUACAAAAGUGGAUAAGAACCUGUUGAUAAAUUAAAACAGAAACUCGCACUGUCACCGGAAAUUCGAACAGACUUCAAUUUCAAUGUUUUUCCUUUUCUCCUUUUGUUUCUGAUGUUUACUUUUUUUUUUUUUAUGUUGGUUUUCUAUUUUUUUUUCACUCUCUUUUGUUCUCCCUUUUCUAAUGAAUGAAUUUAUGAUUUUUUUUUGUCUUUGUUUGAUGUCGUCCUCUCUUUUUUAUAUGGGCAGAGAGUCAACGGUUAAAAGCAGAUAAGGGGAGGGGGA